Molecule: ribosomal RNA, 637 nt
Filed under: Isolaimium sp. ARK-10 B
Lineage: Eukaryota; Metazoa; Nematoda; Enoplea; Isolaimida; Isolaimiidae
Description: SSU rRNA
Rfam family: Eukaryotic small subunit ribosomal RNA
Source: RNAcentral
GGCGAUCAGAUACCGCCCUAGUUCUAACCGUAAACGAUGCGAACCAGCGAUCCGCCGGCGUUAAUCACGACCCGGCGGGCAGCUUCCCGGAAACGAAAGUCUUUCCGUUCCGGGGGAAGUAUGGUUGCAAAGCUGAAACUUAAAGGAAUUGACGGAAGGGCACCACCAGGAGUGGAGCCUGCGGCUUAAUUUGACUCAACACGGGGAAACUCACCCGGCCAGGACACUGUAAGGAUUGACAGAUUGAGAGCUCUUUCUUGAUUCAGUGGGUGGUGGUGCAUGGCCGUUCUUAGUUGGUGGAGCGAUUUGUCUGGUUAAUUCCGAUAACGAACGAGACUCUGGCCUGCUAAAUAGCGAGCGGAUCCUCGGCGUCCGCGGAGCUUCUUAGAGGGACAAGCGGUGUUCAGCCGCAUGAAAAAGAGCAAUAACAGGUCUGUGAUGCCCUUAGAUGUCCGGGGCUGCACGCGCGCUACACUGAAGGAGUCAACGCGCUUUAAAACCUGGCCCGAAAGGGCCGGGUAACCGGAUGAAAAUCUUUCGUGCUUGGGAUAGGGACUUGCAAUUAUUUCCCUUGAACGAGGAAUUCCUAGUAAGUGCGGGUCAUCAGCUCGCGCUGAUUACGUCCCUGCCCUUUGUA